GGCCUUUUGAUUAUAAUUUAAGGUCUAGCCUGCCCAAUGAUAAAAAUUUAAUGGCCGCAGUAUAUUGACUGUGCAAAGGUAGCAUAAUCAUUAGUUUUUUAAUUGAAAGCUGGUAUGAAAGGUUUGAUGAAAAAAAGACUGUCUCUAUUUAAAAUUUUAGAAAUUUAUUUUUAAGUCAAAAAGCUUAAAUUUAUAUUGAAGACGAGAAGACCCUAUAGAGUUUGAUUUAUGUAAAAAUAACCAAAAUUUAGUAUUUAAAAUUUUAUUUUUACAUAAAUUUAGUUGGGGUGAUUGAAAAAUUUAUAAAACUUUUUUUAUAUUUUUACAUUUAUUUAUGAUUUUAUGAUCCUUUUUUAGAUUAUAAGAUAAAAUUACCUUAGGGAUAACAGCGUAAUUUUUUUUAGAGUUCUUAUCGAAUAAAAAGAUUGCGACCUCGAUGUUGGAUUAAAAUUAAAUUUUUGGUGAAGAAGCUAAAAAAUUAGGUCUGUUCGACCUUUAAAUUUUUACAUGAUCUGAGUUUAAACCGGUGUAAG
RNAcentral lists this ribosomal RNA (533 nucleotides) under Kyklioacalles pyrenaeus. RNAcentral's name for it is "partial 16S ribosomal RNA". It matches the Rfam family "Bacterial large subunit ribosomal RNA", at positions 1819 to 2625 of the family's 2925-position model. Lineage: Eukaryota; Metazoa; Arthropoda; Insecta; Coleoptera; Curculionidae. The record is from RNAcentral.